GAUGCAGGUGCGGUUCCAACGAUAGAAUGGACCCGUCCAGUGAAAGGUU
Molecule: small RNA, 49 nt
Filed under: Sinorhizobium meliloti 2011
Lineage: Bacteria; Pseudomonadati; Pseudomonadota; Alphaproteobacteria; Hyphomicrobiales; Rhizobiaceae
Description: putative ncRNA
Source: RNAcentral